Molecule: unclassified non-coding RNA, 306 nt
Filed under: plant metagenome
Description: partial contains 5.8S ribosomal RNA, internal transcribed spacer 2, and large subunit ribosomal RNA
Rfam family: 5.8S ribosomal RNA (bases 1-105)
Source: RNAcentral
GAAAUGCGAUAAGUAAUGUGAAUUGCAGAAUUCAGUGAAUCAUCGAAUCUUUGAACGCACAUUGCGCCCGCCAGUAUUCUGGCGGGCAUGCCUGUCCGAGCGUCAUUUCAACCAUCAAGCCCCCGGGCUUGUGUUGGGGACCUGCGGCUGCCCGCAGGCCCUGAAAACCAGUGGCGGGCUCGCUGUCACAACGAGCGUAGUAGCAAUCACCUCGCUCAGGGCGUGCUGCGGGUUCCGGCCGUUAAACAGCCUUACAAAACCCAAGGUUGACCUCGGAUCAGGUAGGAAGACCCGCUGAACUUAAGC